RNAcentral lists this non-coding RNA (85 nucleotides) under Carlito syrichta (Philippine tarsier). Lineage: Eukaryota; Metazoa; Chordata; Mammalia; Primates; Tarsiidae. The record is from RNAcentral.
AGGAUGGAAGACGUCCUCAGGCCCAACAACACACAGAGGGUUAAGGCUUCAUAGCCUACUUUGUGGCAUCUAACCACUGUUUUCU